UUAAUUGAAGCCAAAACUUUAGAGGCCUCUUAAUGUUAAUAAGAAGAUUGAACUUUAUAUUCCAAUUAAA
Molecule: transfer RNA, 70 nt
Filed under: Idioscopus sp. 'myrica'
Lineage: Eukaryota; Metazoa; Arthropoda; Insecta; Hemiptera; Cicadellidae
Description: tRNA-Asn
Source: RNAcentral